RNAcentral lists this ribosomal RNA (253 nucleotides) under uncultured bacterium. RNAcentral's name for it is "partial 16S ribosomal RNA". It matches the Rfam family "Bacterial small subunit ribosomal RNA", at positions 524 to 776 of the family's 1533-position model. The record is from RNAcentral.
UACGUAGGGGGCAAGCGUUAUCCGGAUUUACUGGGUGUAAAGGGGGCGCAGACGGCUGUGCAAGCCAGGAGUGAAAGCCCGGGGCCCAACCCCGGGACUGCUCUUGGAACUGCAUGGCUGGAGUGCAGGAGGGGCAGGCGGAAUUCCUGGUGUAGCGGUGAAAUGCGUAGAUAUCAGGAGGAACACCGGUGGCGAAGGCGGCCUGCUGGACUGCAACUGACGUUGAGGCCCGAAAGCGUGGGGAGCAAACAGG